Long non-coding RNA from Strongylocentrotus purpuratus (purple sea urchin), 404 nucleotides. RefSeq lists it as uncharacterized. The transcript has 3 exons. The record is from RefSeq and is a predicted model, not a curated record. Lineage: Eukaryota; Metazoa; Echinodermata; Echinoidea; Camarodonta; Strongylocentrotidae.
AACAUAGGAACACCACCUGUACACAAAGAACCACGCUCUAUACAUACCACGCACAAUCUAUAUGCGUACACUGCAUAACCCCUCUUCGCAAUAUAGCUAGGUAAACAAGAGCGGUCUAGGUCUUUGAGAUGAAUAGCAAAGGAAUCGGAAUAAUUGCUAUGCUUUGCCAGUGAAAUUCUUCGCGUGCAUACGGCGUGGAAUCCUGACAAAAGUAAAGAAGGGAGAAUGACAGGAUUAGAUGUAGAUGUUUUCCUAGGAGAUUUGAAAACCAGAACCACUCCCCGUAUGUGGUGAUGAGGAUAGACGAAAAUACCCAAAUUCAGAAGUAAUUUUGGUUCAGAAAACCAUAUAUUAAGGUCACACAAAGAAAAAGAGCGACCUAAAAGGAAGCGAUCACAACCCCG